UUCUGUUCUCAGGGCGGGGUGAAAGUCCCCACCGGCGGUAAGGGCCUCGGCCCGAGCCCGCGAGCGCCUUCCGCGCGCCCAUGGGCGGGGAGGGGUCAGCAGAUCCGGUGCGAUGCCGGAGCCGACGGUCAUAGUCCGGAUGAAAGGAAUGAUC
RNAcentral lists this non-coding RNA (154 nucleotides) under Rhizobium yanglingense. RNAcentral's name for it is "FMN sequence". It matches the Rfam family "FMN riboswitch aptamer (RFN element)". From Rfam's summary of the family: The RFN element is a highly conserved domain that is found frequently in the 5'-untranslated regions of prokaryotic mRNAs that encode for flavin mononucleotide (FMN) biosynthesis and transport proteins. This element is a metabolite-dependent riboswitch that directly binds FMN in the absence of proteins. The record is from RNAcentral. Lineage: Bacteria; Pseudomonadati; Pseudomonadota; Alphaproteobacteria; Hyphomicrobiales; Rhizobiaceae.